GUGCUAAGGUAGCAUAAUCAAUUGUUUCUUAAUUGGUAACUGGAAUGAAAGGUUUAACUAUUAUAUUUAGUUUGUUGAGUUAAAUAGGAGUUUAAAGUCAAGGUAAUAAUUCUUUGAUUUUCUAGGGGACGAUAAGACCCUAGAAGCUUAAUAAAUUGAAUACAUAUUAGCUAUAAGGUUAAAUUUAUUUUACUGGGGCGGUGACAGUAAAUAAACUACUGUAAAUUUAAUAGAUCCUUAUAAUAAAGAUAUAAUGGUUAAGUUACUCUAGGGUUAACAGUGUAAUAUACUUGGAGAGAUCUUAUUGAUAAGUAUGAUUACCACCUCGAUGUUGAAUUAAGAAUUCUUAAUGGUGCAGUAAUCAUAGUAGAAGGUUUGUUCAAC
This 384-nucleotide ribosomal RNA is filed under the name Gammarus pisinnus. RNAcentral's name for it is "partial 16S ribosomal RNA". It matches the Rfam family "Bacterial large subunit ribosomal RNA", at positions 1948 to 2585 of the family's 2925-position model. Lineage: Eukaryota; Metazoa; Arthropoda; Malacostraca; Amphipoda; Gammaridae. The record is from RNAcentral.